CAGCCGCCGCGGUAAUACCGGCGGCCCGAGUGGCGGUCACUCUUAUUGGGCUUAAAGCGUCCGUAGCCGGGUUGGGAAGUCCUCCGGGAAAUCUGGCCGCUUAACGGUCAGAAUGCCGGAGGAUACUCCCAGCCUAGGGAGCGGGAGAGGCCGAGGGGAUUCCCGGGGUAGGGGGGAAAUCCUAUAAUCCCGGGAGGACCACCUGUGGCGAAGGCGCUCGGCUGGAACGCGUCCGACGGUGAGGGACGAAGGCCAGGGGAGCAAACCGGAUUAGAUACCCGGGUAGUCCUGGCUGUAAACGAUGCGGACUUUGUGUCGGACAAGCUAUGAGCUUGUCCGGUGCCGGAGGGAAACCGUUAAGUCCGCCGCCUGGGGAGUACGGCCGCAAGGCUGAAACUUAAAGGAAUUGGCGGG
This 414-nucleotide ribosomal RNA is filed under the name uncultured microorganism. Its description in RNAcentral is "bacterial SSU rRNA". It matches the Rfam family "Archaeal small subunit ribosomal RNA", at positions 459 to 872 of the family's 1478-position model. The record is from RNAcentral.